Non-coding RNA from Microcebus murinus (gray mouse lemur), 927 nucleotides. The record is from RefSeq and is a predicted model, not a curated record. Lineage: Eukaryota; Metazoa; Chordata; Mammalia; Primates; Cheirogaleidae.
GAGAACGACACUUCUCAGGGCCUGGGAGAGAGCUUCUGGGGAUGCCAGAGAAGGAGCUUCUAACCAGAUUGGAGGUCCUUCCUUGAGCUGCUAUCUAUGCUGAGCCUUAAAAUGAAAUUGUACUAAAGCCACAAUAAGAAUGGGGGUGGGGAAGAGGAAGACUCACAUAAUAGAAGUAUAAGCUUAAUUACGUGCCAUCUUUACCUGCCCAAUGGAACAGCCUCCCUGUGGCCUGUGGACCUGCUGUUUCCAGAGCCUCUAAGAUGAGCAAAGGAGCAAAGUGAUGGGAUGGCCUCCCUCACCUAAUAAGAAGCCACGGAGCUAAGAUUCAAACAUAUGGUCCAGCCAAGAAGAGCCACCAAGAUAGCGCCUCACAGCCUCAAGUGUUGAAGUUCCAUAAAGGAGUCGUUGUCAAGAGAAACCACAGCUGGUGCCCAAUUAGAGAGGUGAUCGAGACUGAUCGGCCAGCAGCACUCUUAAUUAAGCUGGACCACAAACUGCAGGAGAAACGGCAGCACGUCUGGCUCCUCCUGCCCGAGACACUUGCCUCCUGGGUGGAUGUGAAAAUGAAAGAGGUUGUGUAAAUAGAGAACUAAGCCUAGUGCCCGGGCCAUCAUAACUUCUCCAGAAACAUCAGCUGUUACUCUGCCCAUUCUCCUGGCUAUGUGAGCAGUUGACACACAGUGAAAGGCCUGCAUACUUCCCCCACCUCCAGACAGGUUUCCCUGGAACCCUGACAGACAGACAGACAGUGAUGUUUCUCCUCUCCAGACAGCAUCCCCAGCCGCCGCCGCUGACUCAGCCUCCCCGCCCUCCCCAAGGGUGCGGCAGGAAGGCCGCCCCUGGCAUUGAAGUUGCAGGUGGCACCAGGGGUAAAGUCACAGGCAUCUGCAGAUAGGAGACUUGAUUUUUCCCCAGGCCCUGGAA